RNAcentral lists this ribosomal RNA (460 nucleotides) under uncultured bacterium. RNAcentral's name for it is "partial 16S ribosomal RNA". It matches the Rfam family "Bacterial small subunit ribosomal RNA", at positions 338 to 795 of the family's 1533-position model. The record is from RNAcentral.
CCUACGGGCGGCAGCAGUGAGGAAUAUUGGUCAAUGGCCGGAAGGCUGAACCAGCCAUGCCGCGUGAAGGUCAGUGCCCUAUGGGCGUUAAACUUCUUUUGUGCGGGAGCAAUAAUGGUCACGUGUGGCCAGACGAGAGUACCGUACGAAUAAGCAUCGGCUAACUCCGUGCCAGCAGCCGCGGUAAGACGGGGGAUGCAAGCGUUAUCCGGAUUUAUUGGGUUUAAAGGGUGCGUAGGCUGUGAGGUAAGUCAGCGGUGAAAUGCCCCCGCUUAACGGGGUGAAGUGCCAUUGAUACUGCCUGGCUGGAAUGCGGAUGCCGUGGGAGGAAUGUGUGGUGUAGCGGUGAAAUGCAUAGAUAUCACACAGAACACCGAUUGCGAAGGCAUCUCACGAAUCCGCGAUUGACGCUGAUGCACGAAAGCGUGGGUAUCAAACAGGAUUAGAUACCCUAGUAGUC